AUACGUAGGGGGCAAGCGUUAUCCGGAUUUACUGGGUGUAAAGGGAGCGUAGACGGAAUGGCAAGUCUGAUGUGAAAGGCCGGGGCUCAACCCCGGGACUGCAUUGGAAACUGUCAGGCUAGAGUGCAGGAGGGGUAAGCGGAAUUCCUAGUGUAGCGGUGAAAUGCGUAGAUAUUAGGAGGAACACCGGUGGCGAAGGCGGCUUACUGGACUGUAACUGACGCUGAGGCGCGAAAGCGUGGGGAGCGAACAGGAUUAGAUACCCUGGUAGUCCACGCGGUAAACGAUGAAUGCUAGGUGUUGCGGGUAUCGACCCCUGCAGUGCCGGAGUAAACACAAUAAGCAUUCCGCCUGGGGAGUACGGCCGCAAGGUUGAAACUCAAAUGAAUUGGCGGGG
Molecule: ribosomal RNA, 397 nt
Filed under: uncultured bacterium
Lineage: Bacteria
Description: partial 16S ribosomal RNA
Rfam family: Bacterial small subunit ribosomal RNA
Source: RNAcentral